Molecule: long non-coding RNA, 904 nt
Filed under: Marmota monax (woodchuck)
Lineage: Eukaryota; Metazoa; Chordata; Mammalia; Rodentia; Sciuridae
Source: RNAcentral
AAAAAUGUUACUUUCUAUUUUUCUUAUGAGUAAGUUUGAACAUCUUUUCAUAUAUUUAAGAGCCAUUUAUAUUUCCUUCUUAUGAAGUAUCUGUUAUAUCCUUUGCCUAUUUUGGGAGGUGGAGGUGUUUUAAAAACCACUUUUAGUCACUGUUUGUAAUAUGGAGAUCUACUCUUUGUAACAUGAGUUGCAGCAUUUUUUCUCUCGUUUAUCAUUUGUCUUUCAACUUUCCUUAUGAUGUUUUUGCUUUGUAGAGUUGAAUUUGUCAGUCUUUUUAUGACUUCUGAAUUUUGUCAUCAUUAGAAAAGCCUCCUCCACUCCAAGGUUAUGAAAGAAUUCUUGGCUUUACUACUUUUAUGGUUCCUGCUUUAGAUUUUGAUUUUUGAUCCAUUUUUUCUUGUAUAUGAUGUGAGGGAUAGGUCCAACUUUAUUUUUUUCUAAGUGAUUACUCAAUUGCCUCAACAUCAUUUGUGAGUAAUCUGCCUCUAUACUGUUUGCUUCUACCAAAAACAAGACUGAUUCAUCUACUUCUUUUUCACACUUUCUUUGCUGUGACUAAAUAUGAACACAAUCCUGUUUUCCUUCCUAUAGAACACCUUCUGAAGUGGUGAAGAUGUCUUUCACCAUGCUUCCUUUGUCUUCCUCAGCAACACUGGGAGCCUGGCAGUUAGCAAUGGAAUGAAUACAAGGCUGCUCAGAAGGCUGGCCAGGAGUUUUCAUGGAGCAAUAACUGGUUAAAAAGGAAACCUGAGUAUAAUCAAGUUCCUUUAAAGACUGUUCAAACCAGAGUUAUCCUCUGGCAGUCUCUGGUCACCACUAACCAGCUAUUAUUCUAGAAGCCGAAGGUAUGCUGCCUGCAUCCUGCACUCCAGAGGCAGUUCAGUUCAGUUGCUUUACUUUAUAC